Molecule: ribosomal RNA, 521 nt
Filed under: uncultured bacterium
Lineage: Bacteria
Description: bacterial SSU rRNA
Rfam family: Bacterial small subunit ribosomal RNA
Source: RNAcentral
AGAGUUUGAUUAUGGCUCAGGAUGAACGCUAGCUACAGGCUUAACACAUGCAAGUCGAGGGGCAGCAUGAUCAAAGCUUGCUUGAUUGAUGGCGACCGGCGCACGGGUGAGUAACGCGUAUCCAACCUUCCCCUUAGUAGGGCAUAGCCCGGCGAAAGUCGGAUUAAUACCCUAUGUUAUCCGAAGAGGACAUCUGAUUUGGAUUAAAGAUUCAUCGCUAAGGGAUGGGGAUGCGUCCGAUUAGGCAGUCGGCGGGGUAACGGCCCACCGAGCCGUCGAUCGGUAGGGGUUCUGAGAGGAAGGUCCCCCACACUGGUACUGAGACACGGACCAGACUCCUACGGGAGGCAGCAGUGAGGAAUAUUGGUCAAUGGGCGCGAGCCUGAACCAGCCAAGUAAGCGUGCAGGAAGACGGCCCUACGGGUUGUAAACUGCUUUUAUGCGGGGAUAAAGUGAGGGACGUGUCCCUUAUUGCAGGUACCGCAUGAAUAAGGACCGGCUAAUUCCGUGCCAGCCGCCGC